AUGUGUGCUGGGUCCCAAGAGAGAAGGGGGUGGAUAGGACUGGUAGUUUCUCAGAUGUGCAUCUUCUUGCAGAAUCGUCUGGCCAAAGUGAGAUCUCAGAAUUACUCACCAGGAAGGAACCAUGGAGCAGAACUCAAAGGAACAGUCCAGCUCCCCUCAAAAGCAAGGAGUGAAAGCUCGGUCCAAAUCCACAGAGGAAAUGCAGCCUGCCAAGAAGGCAUUCCAAACACCGCAGAAAUCCUUACCAAACCAGAUGGAUGAAGAGGAAUCCAAGGGUUCCUGUCCUGUCCCUGGCUCCACUCAGCAAGAACAGCAGCAGACCUGAAGAACAGGAGCUGAUUGAGCGUCAACUACCAAGAAAUGGAGUCAUGACCAUUCCUCGUGCUGUCCCUUGGCUUGGCCUUGUUGCUCCGUCGUUACGCCCUUGUGGAUGUCCCUGUAGUUCCUUCUGUCCAGCUGUUGCUGUCUGAUUGUCUGUCUUCUCUGUGGAAUGAAUCUAGGUCAAUAAAGUUUGUUGGAACAUCUUUGCUCUCAUCUCCUACAUAUAUGCAACUGUCAUUUUUACCACCAAACCCUGAAGUUUGAGGCAGGGUGAGAAGAACUGGAGGCCAAAUGUUAUGAAGGAGCUUGACUCUGUCAUAUUACGUGUGGGUGGAUAUCAUGCUAAUUGUCUCUGUAGAGAACCCAAAGAUUGUUCUUACACUGCAUCAAAGCGCCACUGGAUUAUGUUUUGAUAGAGCGAGCCUUCCGCGUUUAGCAUGCUAGACAUCUGCCUUGUGGUGGUGGCUCUUGUGCCUAUUAAAGUUCUGUCUAUUGAUUUCCUUGUUGGUAGCCCUAUCAUUUUGGAGGGGAGGGUCCUUCAUUUCAUGCAUCUGUUACUUGCUAAAACUGAUGAGAAAUUCACUUUUUCCAUCCCUUGUCAGAGCCAAGGAAAUACAACCAUAUGUGGAGCCAGUCAUGUUCCUGAGAGUCCAUAUGAAACACCCCCAUUUCAAAGUGUGUGUGUCUGUGUGUGAAGUUAUCCUUCUGAAAGAAAACUUGAGCAAAGGAAACAUUCCACUUGGCAUCCCAUGAUGAUGAUGUGCUAUGAAAGGGCUGUACCACACACCCUUCUUGUACAUAAAAAUCAGCUCUCAAACAUUCAUGCCAAAGAUAACACAAAUAGGAAGCUUUCUGUGCGGUUUGGGUGUCAGAUGUCUCUGGGACAAAAGGCUCUGAAUGGGAAGAAAAUAGCAAACAUUUUGUUCUAGUUUGAAAGCCACAGGCCACAAAAAAGGAUGAUUCACUCUGCGCCCACAACCAAGGGUGGGAGAGAAAGUGAGAGAAUGAGCGAAUCUUCCUCUUUCUGCAGCAAACACUGGCACAGUUAACCACCUACCUUCUCAGAAACCCAUUGACUUGGCAUGCUAGAGGGGGCAGGAGGAAGAAGACAUGGAGCGUCAAUAGGACGUCACAUUAUGUUUUGGUCGAGGACUUUGGUCUAGCACAGUCAAUGAGUGAUAGGCCAGGGAUGGCUGAGUAGUUUAAUGAUUGUAAGUUGUAUUGAAGAGAGGGUUGCUGGCUCUCUGCUAGUCUCUUUUGGCCAAAGUCUCAUCCCCCUUCUAUAAAGAGCUCCAAGGGAUAUCACAAGGCAAGAGUCUCAAGAGUUCUACAUAAAUAAGUCCUUGAGAUGAUUGAAGCAAAUGGGAGAAUCUCUGUACCCUUGGGGAAAAUCUUUCUGAUGUCAGGCAUGAAAUCCAUGACUUGAAUACAUACUUUUGAGCAGUUUUUACGUUGCUCAAAGCUCAGAACAUGAAAUGAGCCACGUUUUAGGAUUGUGUAACCUGAAUGUCCCUAAGUAAUAUUUGCCUUAAGAACAUUUUUUCCCCCAUUUAUCACGGUUCCCUUCUGCAUUAGUGGUGCCCAGAGUAAUAUCUAUUAGAAAAGGAUAUCUCGGAUUGUUUCAGCCUGCCUACAUGUACUUUCAGCAUUUUCAUCUGAUUUUUUGUAAUUCUGUCUUUUAUACACCAAUGAUCUCUUUCCAAAAUUGUUUUAUUUUGUUUAUUUUCUAGUCCACUAGUUUUGCAGACCACAAUAAUACCUUUCGGAAUUCUUUUCUCAUUCUUUUUCAGAUAGUGCAGUGAAUAAACAGGAACAUGUCUAGGAAAAGGCAGGCUCAAAUGUGUUGCACUUAAAAACAAAACUCUAGAGCAGGGAGAAUGAUCUUUUGGACUAUAAAUUCAAGAAAUCCACCACCAUAAUAACUAUUUUGAGAGUAAGAGCUAAAAGCCUGAAAAAGUAAUGUUGCGUACUCUGAAAAAUGAAUUUGGAAAGUUAAAAAAAAACCUUAGUCGUUAUGGAAGUAUGAAGCACAUGUGAUAUAAAUAGCAAAGUUAUGACACUCAUAAAGCCAGGUUGCCUAUAAAUAACAAGAACCAUAAAAUAUUUUUUUAGAAGUUAAAAACAGAUUUUAGCAGAUGUGUCUAUCUGGCCCUUGUUUAUGUAUGUAUCUCAAGUGGUCAUUUGUUGAUUGAUUUAUAUUUAGAUUGAUUUUUAUUUAGACUACUCUCAGCUAAUGGGUCCUCAAAGUGGUUUGCAAUCAAAUCAUAAUAAAACAUACUAAACACUUGUUGAACAAGACAACUAAGAAGUCAGAUAAUGUAUGUCCGUAUGAUCAUUUUUCCUCGUUUGUCUUGACAAAAAAGAAACCCCC
Molecule: long non-coding RNA, 2692 nt
Organism: Anolis carolinensis (green anole)
Lineage: Eukaryota; Metazoa; Chordata; Lepidosauria; Squamata; Anolidae
Source: Ensembl